AUUGAACGCUGGCGGCAUGCCUUACACAUGCAAGUCGAACGGCAGCACGGGUGCUUGCACCUGGUGGCGAGUGGCGAACGGGUGAGUAAUACAUCGGAACGUACCUUAUCGUGGGGGAUAACGCAGCGAAAGCUGUGCUAAUACCGCAUACGCCCUGAGGGGGAAAGCGGGGGAUCGCGAGACCUCGCGCGAUUCGAGCGGCCGAUGCCUGAUUAGCUUGUUGGUGGGGUAAAAGCCCACCAAGGCGACGAUCAGUAGCUGGUCUGAGAGGACGAUCAGCCACACUGGGACUGAGACACGGCCCAGACUCCUACGGGAGGCAGCAGUGGGGAAUUUUGGACAAUGGGGGCAACCCUGAUCCAGCAAUGCCGCGUGAGUGAAGAAGGCCUUCGGGUUGUAAAGCUCUUUUGUCAGGGAAGAAACACCGGCUCUAACACAGUCUGGGAAUGACGGUACCUGAAGAAUAAGCACCGGCUAACUACGUGCCAGCCGCCGCGGUAA
Molecule: ribosomal RNA, 501 nt
Filed under: uncultured bacterium
Lineage: Bacteria
Description: partial 16S ribosomal RNA
Rfam family: Bacterial small subunit ribosomal RNA
Source: RNAcentral